RNAcentral lists this long non-coding RNA (607 nucleotides) under Brassica napus (rape). Its description in RNAcentral is "long non-coding RNA (BNAP_LNC018248)". Lineage: Eukaryota; Viridiplantae; Streptophyta; Magnoliopsida; Brassicales; Brassicaceae. The record is from RNAcentral.
CCUAAAACAUCAACUUUAAACCCUAAACCCUAAACCUUCAACUCUAAACCCUAAACCCUAAAACCCUAGAAUUGACGUUUUAGGGAUUAGAUUUGAAGGUUUAGGUUUUAAGGGUUUAGGGUUUACGUUUAGGGUUUAGAGUUGAUAUUUAAGGAUUUAGAUUUGAAGGUUUAGGGUUUUAGGGUUUAAGGUUCGAAUUUCAGAAAAUAUAGGGUUUAGGGUUUAGGGUUUAAGUUUAGGGUUUAGAGUUUAUGUUUUAAGAUUUAGAUUUAAAAGUUUAGGAUUUAGGGUUUAGAGUUGAUGUUUCGGAGUUUAGGAUUUAGAGUUGAUGUUUCAUGGUUUAGGGUUUAGAAUUGAUGAUUUAGGGUUUAGAGUUGAUGUUUUAAGUUUAGAUUUAAGAUUUAGGGUUUAGUGUUUACAUUUAAUGUUUUAGGGUUUAGAUUUGAAGGUUUCGGGUUUAGGGUUUAAAGUUGAUGUUUCAGGGUUUAGGGUUUAGAGUUGAUGUUUCAUGGUUUAGGGUUUAGAGUUGAUGUUUUAAAUUUAGAUUAGUUAACUUUAUGUUUUUUUUGUCAAAGUUAAUUCAAAGGUUAUAAAUGUCUUUUACCCU